UGACGCCUUGAAGAUGCCAAGGGGUUACCCAAUUCAUGCAAUUCGAUAGAAAAGGCAAUCUUAAACAACAUAUUGCCUAUUUCAUUGAAACCUGCAACAAUGCUGGGACGGAAUGAGACUACCUCGUCAAGUAGUUCAUGCGCUCACUGAAGGAAGAUUUUUGUGAAAACAUGUUCAUUUAAGCAACAUCUAUAGCAUGCUAUUAACAAUUAAAAGGCGGAAUCAUGCUUGCAUGCACUUAAAAACAAAACAUUAACCAUGAAAUUCAAAGCCUAGUAGAUUGGUGAACCAAUACUCAACUCAAAACAAAGUGAGUUGAAAUUUAUACCUUUGUAGAUUCCUCUUUGCAUAAGCAAAGGCUAAUCACCCAAAGAGAGGGCCUUCAUUCCUUGCUUCUUAAAUCUAUGGAUUUGGAUGGAAGAAUAGGUUUCUCAAAGUUCCCAAAAUAGAGAACCUCUAAGUAUCUUCACCAAGGUUAGAUUGGAGAAGAAAUGAGUGACCUUGGAGGAGUAGUAUUGCUAGCUAAUCCCUCCAAGGGGGCCGGUCUCUUUAGAGAGAAAGGGAGAGACAUGUUCUCUCCAAUUUUCUCCAAAAGAACCCCUUUUUUGAAUUUAGGCUAUAAAGUCCUUUAUAUAGUCCCUUCAAAUAAGUGACCUAAAGAACCAAAAAGCCAUUCUCUCUAACAUGGCCGGCCAUAAGGGUUUUAUUGGGCUUUUGGGCUUUUGUGAAUUAAGUUGUCAUACAACUUAAGUUAAUGGGCUUGACGUUCGAAGUCCAUUGGGCCUUGAGGCCCAAAACUAACCCUUGGUCUUUUAACGAACUUUAUUCGUUUGAUUAAUUAACAUAUUAAUUAAUCCUUGCCAUAAAUUAUUAAAUAAUUAAACCAUUUAAUUAUCCUUACUCAUCUCCGUUGUUUCUUCAAUCUUUACCUUACAUGGUGUACGAUCCAUUAGGUUCCUUUUAGCGAGGUAGUGGGCGAUUAGAACUCUUUCAAACCGAUUGUGAAUUGAAACUUACUUUCAAUUCUCCCUUUAGUGAUUAUACACGUUUAGGGCUUCCACAAACCAUGAGUGACACCUAGCAGCAUAUCAUGGUUACCCAAGCUAAUCAGAAGAGGUGGAGAACCUAUUCUGUUUAGGAUUACAAAUGCAAUACGGUCUUUCUCUAAUACAAUACUCUUGACCACAUUGUUUAGUUUGAUAGUUUAUUCAUGUCUACUAUCCAAUGUGAUUCGUUUACUUAUAUGAUUACCUUGAAUGUGAUUUGGAACGCCUUCCUAAAUCUCAUUCAUACUCUGAUCAGAGAUUUUCAAUCAUAUCAUAGAGUAUUCUCCCCCAAAUGGUUUGAAGGUUAGAGAUCCCUUGUUGCGCAUUCAAUUGCCUCCAUGGCUAAGUGGCUUAACCCCAACGAUGCCGUGGACACCCGCGGAUGGGGUGACUUUGACAUAAUCAAAGAUCAAGAACUUAACCACAAGACAACUGUGAUGCCUCAGGUCAUAGGACUACUUUGCAUUAUCCCAACCAUGAGUUCUCAUGUGACAUGAAUAUGAGAACUCUUCGUUGAUCGUGUUCAGUGAACUCAUUCUCUAUUGAGCACCUACGUACUUGUCUUGAUGUCACACACACCAAUGACUCGAGACUAGUCACUCUCCCUGAGAGAAGACAUAGCAUGUACUGAUCUUAACGGACUGUCAAUGCCCAAUUGGCAAUCCUAUGAUCAGGAACGUUUAGGAUGUGUCUACGAAAGAAUGGUCUCAUGAAUCUAACUUCUUUAGAUUGCAUUCUCCCAAUCACAUAUUCCUUGGACUUAUCGUUUAAGCAUAUAACAUUUAUAUGAGACGGCUCAAACAAUAAUCUUUGCCCUUUAUAUUUAAACUACAUUAGUUUAACUUUGUGAAAUGUCCGUAAAGUAUCAUCAUAUGAUUGGUUUUAGGGCACAUUUCCAACAAUCUCCCACUUGCACUAGAGCCAAUCAGCUUGGUCAUCAGUGAUGAUACCUCUUCUGUAGUCAUUUCAUAAAUGGCUGAGUAGUAGGCCUAGACAAUGGAUAUCUAUAUGUUAUCCAUAGAAGCAACCUUGAGAAUAACGACGUCACCAUUAUACAUGAUUCUCAAUCAUGUGGUUCAGUCUCUCAUAUGAGUUCGGAUCUUGAUGAGACCUUGAUUCCCUGGCUUGAGCUAUCGCCCCAUUAGUGUCAUAGUGUCGAUACACUAGAUACACUUUCUGGUUGGAACCGAAUAGAGAGUUCAUAAAUGAACUUUCCCAUCCAAACAACAUUGUUGUAAGCUUCUAUAUGGCAAUAUAUUUUGCAUUCAUAAUGGAACACACUAAAGUCAUUACUUUAAUGUUUCCAUCCAAAUAUCUCUUUAGUCAUAAUAAAGAGAUAUCUGAUUAUUUCUUCAUUCAUAAUGAAGAAACAUCCAAUGAUGGAUUAGAUUCUUAAUCUAAUACAUUUACGCUUCCAUUACGUUACUCUAAUUCUUCCUCAUUCUUUGAGGAAUCUAUCCUUUAGUAUUUCUUAAAUACUUAAGGACUUACUUGACAGUUGCCAUGGUUCUGAUCCUGGGCUUGCACUGAUAUCGUCUUGUACCAUUCUAGGUACAACUCAUAUCAAUGUUUUUCAUACAAUAUGAAAUACAUAAAUCACCUUUAUGCGUAUGCAUAAAGGAUUCUAUUUACGCAUUAUUUCUUUGGGAGUCAAAGAGUACGUUCUCUUUGAGAAGAGCAACUUCUUAGUCUCACUAGAGUUGUCCUUCUAAUUGAAGUUUAUCAUCAUAUGAGAAACUUCCUAGCAUCUAUUGUCUAUUAUUAGGGAUUGAUAUAAUCCAAUUAUAUCAUGAAAUAUAUCAUUAUAGAUUUCCAUCCCAUGUAUAUAGACUAUAUCUCCCAUAUACAUUCUAUCUUCAUAUAAUGUUUUAAAGUCAUAACUUUAACGAAGAAGAAUUCUUUUCAUUUCCAAAAUUAAUAUAUCAAAUAUAUAUUUUAAAUUUUAGGAACAUGAUUAACUCCCACUAAUCUUUUGUAAACCUAGUAAACAAAAGAUUCAUUUACAUCUUUAUGAGAAAUCAAACGAUUUGAUCUUUCUCUCAUAAGACGCUUAUAGCUCCCACUAGCUUGCUAAGAUUCAUGAUGGAUGGAUCUCUACAACUUACAUGUCUUGUGAUUUAUAGUUUUAGACAUAUAUUAUCAAGACUAUCUUAAUAAUGGUUUCGGAAACCCAUAUAAUGUCCAAACAUUGAAUCACCAUUUAGUUGUAGCUAGCAAUCUUCGAAUUAAUUGAAACCAAGACUAUCUCAAAGAUGGUUUCUUCAAAGUCAACCAUUCUCUUUGAUUGUAGUCACCUUAAACUAUCAAUUAGCUUAUGAAGGUUUUAUUAUUUCGGGUCAAAUGGUACUUUACCAUUUCCUUGAGUAUAUAUCAUAUAUACACUCAAUGUAGUCAUAAGGAUUUUCAUUCUUAUUUCUUUCGAAUUAAGAGGUGCAACUCUAUGACAUAGUCAUAAAGUUCAAACCAUUCAACUGAGACGGUUUAUAAAUCCUUCUCGACUACCUUGGAGCUUUUGGUAUAGGAACUAGGUUGUUAUAUUUGUUGAUUACUUUCUUGUCUCUCAAAGAACCCAUUCUUUGAGUUCUAUCUCUCGUUCAUUUGCUCUUUAGGCAAAUCACAUUGUAGGAUUACAAUGAACUACCCAACAAAACAACAUUUGUUAGUUGGUUUAUAGAAGUGAUAUCCAAAAGUUAAUUUAAGGAUAUCCCACAAGAUUGUUAUCAAACAAAUAUUGCUUAUUAGCACACAACCCCAAAUCUUAACAUGCUUAAGAUUUGUCUUUCUUUCCAACUACAUCUUAUGGAGUCAUGAAAAUUUUGGAAGAUCUUCUAAUUGACAAUCAUAUUGUUUUAGAAGUAUAUAUAUCCUAUAUAUGGGUAAUAGAUAACAUCCAACGAACUAAAUCUUAUUCAAGUUCGUUCUUCUCCUAAUGGAGAAAUUCAUUAUCUUAUGAUGCUUCUUUCCUUGAUAUCUUUCAAGGAAACUCAUCUAAAGUGUUACUUUUCCUUGGAUCAAAUCUAAGGAGGUAAAUACUUUAGACGUCUUACUCAUCAACUUACAUUUCUUGAAUUCUUUGAAACAUUUUGCAAAGUAUUCGGACUUGUGUUUAUUCAAAAUAAACUAUAGUCCAACCGAGAGUGAUCUUCGGUGAAUGUCAUACAACAUGAGUAGUAUUAUGUUGUGGACAAGUGCCACUAACAUCUAAGUGAAUUAACCUCAACAACUUUGUGAUUCUUUCUUCUUUCCAAAAGAAUAAAGAUUCGAACAUUUCGCCUCUAUACAAUUUUAACAAGAAGGUAUUGGAUCCGGAUCUAACGAUCCAAAGCAUCCAUCUAUGACCAACUCGUAAUUUAUGUUUUUAGAGGUAUCACAACUUAGUUGGGAUUAGUCACUACCUUGCAACCUUUUGGGUUUUAAGCAUCAUUAUAUUCUAAACAGUUAACACUACCAUAUAUCAUCUCUACUAUAGAGACAAUCAAUUAGAUUACUAUAAUCCAAUCAUUGAUUAAUAAAGAACAAUGUUUUGUCAAACAAAACAUUCAUCCAUCUCUACUAUAGUGACGGAAUUAAGUUCCUUAAAAAUUGGAAUGUAAAGACAAUCUUUGGUUUUUCCAAUUUCUUUGGUAGUUCAUAUGAGGAAGUAAGUACUAUCUGCUUUCGCAGAGAUCUAUAUUUUAUUCACGUUCCGAAUGUGAAGCACCUUUUCUUCUCUCAUAUAUCUUCUACUUCUUAUUAGUCACACUUUUACAACGAUUGUAAAACAUAGUUACUAAUACGGAAUCAAGCAUUCAAGUAGAAGAACCAACUGUUUUGAACUAUUCAAGAACAAUUUACAACACCUUCGAAAGGUGUGUUCUUGACACUUGCAAGACAUUUCUUGCAAAUACCCCUUCCAAUGUCCAUCCUUUCAUAAAGAAAGUUUGUUCCCUUGGAGUUAAUUUUAUCUUCUUCAUUUGACUUCUCCUUUGACUACAAUAGUCAUGGUCCCUAAACUCCCACUAUCUCUCUUGAAACUUAUUUCAAUUGUGUUAUACACAUCAAACGAUUUGGAGAGUGUGUGGUUAUUGUUCACUAUAUAGUUUACAAUAAACUUAGUGAACCAUUAGGAUAGGGACAUAAAGGUGAAGUCCUAGCCUAUUUUUCCGUCUCUAGAAGUGGUUUAACACUUCAACACUCAAUGAUUCAAAAUCAUCAUAAGUCCAUGUUGAUGGACUAUUUUUGUCAACCAACCAUUAUGUUCUAAACAUAAUUACAAACUUUCAAGAGUUGUUCAAGGCAACUCUCAUUUCUUCAUACAACAAUUUGUAAGUGAAGAAUCAUGGCACAUAAAGUGUCCAUGCCAUUGUGCUUUCUUCUCAAGUUCUUUGUUCAUUUAACAAAGAAACAAGCACUAAGUGUUUGCAUUGACUAAGGGUUGUUCAAAGCAACUCUUAUUUCUUCAUACAACAAUUUGUAAUUGAAGAAUUAUGACAUUAAAAGUGUUGUCCUCUUUAUGAUAGACUUUUCUAACAUAUUCUUCUAAUGAUACAUUAUCAAUAGGAAGAUUGUGAGGAUGAGACUACUUAGGUACAUUUACAAGCCAUUAAAGACAAUCUAUGGUUUUGUAGUACCAAGUCCGGAAACUAAAGCUUUCGGCUUUUAUUUGUCAAGUGUUGGAUAGCGUUUGCAAAUAUAUUGGUAAAUAAAUACAUAACGAAUAUAAAUUGAUUGAUUUUAAGCCAUUUGAUCCGGGUCUUUAAAUCAAAUAGCACCACCCACUAUUUUUGGCAAAUUCCAUAUCCCUCAUUGGAAUUCGAGAGUUUUGGAGGAAACUCUUAGUAGGGUAUGGGAGACUCACUACUACCAAGCCCACCUCACAAUGAUAUGAUGUUGGCUAGCAUUAAUAAUAAUGAGAGAGUACGCUUACUCAUUUGCAUCUCUUGCAAGUACCCAUCUAUUUGGCCUCUAGAAAACAAUGCCUCACGAAUGAUAUGAUGUUGGCAUCAUUUCACUUAGUUAAGUCUUUCCCACCAUGCCGGUUUAGAUAGGGGUUCAAGUAUGACCUAACGAUGAUACGAUGUUGGCCACACUCGUUGCCUACCUUAACCUCAUCAAAUGUUUAAAAUAAACUCCUCCUGAGUAUAAGCAUGCACUUUGCACUCCCCCAUGAUAGGGUGAAGGCGGUGUACAAGUCAUAAACGAUUGGAGCCUACCACGGUGGAAGGCCACGAAAGAGUGUUCAAAGCACUCUCACGCUUAUCAACUUAAUAAUGGUUUGGUUUGAGGGUUUUAGGUCUCAUCACAUAUAAAUAUUCAUUUUAAUCUUUAUUAAAACAAUUUUGGUCCUAUUACAACUAUUGGUCCAUUUGAUUGUUUUUAGUUGUAUAUAAUACUCCCACUAUGUUUAUAAAACGGUUUUUAAAGCAAGAGUAUAUGAUACUACUAACAUAACCUUUUGCAUUCAUUUGAUGGACUAUAUAGUUGCCUUAGGGCCUUAGGAUGACUAUGAACCUUUGAUUAGAUUCAACACGAGCCUUGUGUUGAAUCUCGGUCUAGGGAUGGUGAUUGAUUUUAGUUACGCGUUUAAUCACAUUAAGGCGUGUUGUCUUAGGGGCGUUGGACCCAACUACUUCAUUUUCAUGCAUAUCAAAUAAAGCAAGAAAGAAGUACUUCAAAGUAAAGGUGAGUUUAUGCUCAUUACAACAUUUGCAUAAUUCAAAUUACUUUAAAGUAAAGAAGAGCUUAUGCUCUUUUACAACAUUUGAUCAAAUCAAAUUAAAACCAAAAUCUAAUUAAUCUACACAUUCCCAUGGUUCAAACAAAUUUGAAACGGCCUUUCACAUAGCUCAAUUAUCGUAGGCUUAGGUUCAUAAUCAAUUUCCCUUUAAUUAAUUAACUUUAACUAAUUAAAUUGAAUGCAACAUUUUCAUUUGGGUUUUUGUAUCCAUAAAAUUGAUUUAAAUGGAGCUAAAUGAAAUGAAAAUCCAAUUCUCAUUUAAAGAGACAAAACCAUUUUUGUUCUCAUCUACCUAAUUUGGGCCAAUAUGCAAUUACCACAACCUUUGGGCUAUAUUGCAAAAACAUAAACUUUUGGGGUCACUUUGUAAAAAAAACAAAAAGUCCACUACUUCAUGUAAUUACAACUAGAACCCAAAAUUUAAACAAUGCAAAAACUUCAUUAAAGGAGCAAAACAAUUUGUCCUUUAGCGUUUUUGGACCUAAACGUAAAAACGUAAACUUUUGGGCCAAAGUGUAAAUACACAAAAGUAUCAAAACUUUAUGUAAUUGCAUAAAAGCCCCAAAAGUACUCCCAUUGAGGGAGUGGCCGGUUUUGGAGAGGGAAAGGAGUGAUGUGUGUGUUGAUUUGUGAGUUUUGACAUAAAGCAAGCAAGUGGUGCAAGUGGUGUGUGUGAAAGGGAAUUAAUCCUUUCACACCCACCAUUAUUUCUACCACCAUUUAAACAAAUAUCUAACACAUUAAAUCAUUUGAAAAACAUAAAACAUAAAAUUUAUGAAAUAAAUCAAAACUUUGAAUCAAAACACCAAACUUUUUGUUUUUGGCAAAAAUGUCAAGAACAAUGAAGAACACUCAUGAAAAACGCAAAAAAUUUCCAUGAACAUUUUUCACCCAAAAAAACAUCCCAAAACCAUUUAAACUUUAGGGAAAUAACAUAUAACCAAACUAGGGUACAUAGGGGUUCCAAAAAACACUUUAAAACACUUUUAACAAGUCAAGCAAGAACCCAAAAAUCCACCCUUUGGAUUUGGCCGAAUUUUCCCAAAAGCAUGGCACCAAAUUUUAGCUCCAAUAUUCAUGCUCAUAUGAACUACAUCUACAACAUUUGAGAUGGAAAAUUUUCUAACAAAAUUUACAUUCAAAGAAACAAGAAUAAAGCUUGUAACAUAUUACAACUUUUAAAUCACAAACUAUGAACUACAAAACCCAAAAGGAUUCACCAACUACUAGACCUAGGCUCUGAUACCACUUGAAGGAAGAUUUUUGUGAAAACAUGUUGAUUUAAGCAACAUCUAUAGCAUGCUAUUAACAAUUAAAAGGCGGAAUCAUGCUUGCAUGCACUUAAAAAUAAAACAUUAACCAUGAAAUUCAAAGAUUAGUAGAUUGGUGAACCAAUACUCAACUCAAAACAAAGUGAGUUGAAAUUUAUACCUUUGUAGAUUCCUCUUUGCAUAAGCAAAGGCUAAUCACCCAAAGAGAGGGCCUUCAUUCCUUGCUUCUUAAAUCUAUGGAUUUGGAUGGAAGAAUAGGUUUCUCCAAGUUCCCAAAAUAGAGAACCUCUAAGUAUCUUCACCAAGGUUAGAUUGGAGAAGAAAUGAGUGACCUUGGAGGAGUAGUAUUGCUAGCUAAUCCCUCCAAGGGGGCCGGCCUCUUUAGAGAGAAAGGGAGAGACAUGUUCUCUCCAAUUUUCUCCAAAAGAAACCCC
RNAcentral lists this long non-coding RNA (8467 nucleotides) under Malus domestica (apple). RNAcentral describes it as "long non-coding RNA (MDOM_LNC000365)". Lineage: Eukaryota; Viridiplantae; Streptophyta; Magnoliopsida; Rosales; Rosaceae. The record is from RNAcentral.